Molecule: ribosomal RNA, 356 nt
Filed under: Clostridioides difficile
Lineage: Bacteria; Bacillati; Bacillota; Clostridia; Peptostreptococcales; Peptostreptococcaceae
Description: bacterial LSU rRNA
Rfam family: Bacterial large subunit ribosomal RNA
Source: RNAcentral
AGUCCACAUCGACGGGGAGGUUUGGCACCUCGAUGUCGGCUCAUCACAUCCUGGGGCUGUAGUAGGUCCCAAGGGUUGGGCUGUUCGCCCAUUAAAGUGGUACGCGAGCUGGGUUCAGAACGUCGUGAGACAGUUCGGUCCCUAUCCGUCGCAGGCGUAGGAAAUUUGAGAAGACCUGUCCUUAGUACGGGAGGACCGGGAUGGACGUACCUCUGGUGUACCAGUUGUUCUGCCAAGGGCAUGGCUGGGUAGCUAUGUACGGAAUGGAUAAGCGCUGAAAGCAUCUAAGCGCGAAGCCAACUUCAAGAUAAGAUUUCCCACCGCAAGGGUAAGACCCCAGAAAGACUAUCUGGUUG